This is a long non-coding RNA of Conger conger (European conger), 1193 nucleotides long. RefSeq lists it as uncharacterized. The record is from RefSeq and is a predicted model, not a curated record. The transcript has 4 exons. Lineage: Eukaryota; Metazoa; Chordata; Actinopteri; Anguilliformes; Congridae.
GUUGUGAGCAGAGACUAUGAGGAAGACGGUUUUUUGAAGAACAAUAAAUGUCUCACUAAAGUGAUCCUGAACAAUGAUAGCAAGGUCCUUGUAGUAGAUGCUGAGUGCUUAAAAUUUGAAGAAAGGACCUCGAAGCAGUGCAGAAAGGAAGAUUGCCUGUUCAACCUCUGUUGUUAUUCAAACUCUGACACUGGCAUAUCGAGUGGAUUUCCUGUUAUACUAACAGUGUCUUACAAUGGAGCAAACAGGAUCAUCUGCAGCCGUGUCAACGCAAAUGGAAAGGGUGUUUAUGCAAAACAGCAGGACCUGCCUCUUCCCACAUACAUAAAGGACUCCAGCCACGAGGCUGUGUUCUUCCUGCAGAUUGUGAAAGGACGGAGCCACUGCUACAGAGUGGAGUCCUCCCUGUGGCCGAAAUGGUUCCUGUCUUUUCAAGCAGAAAGGGAGGGUGUUGUGAAGCUGGUGCUGAGAGAGGUUGGGGACGACGAGGUGGAGGGGUUCCAGCUGCUGGAGCCGUGAGGAAAGGGCUGUAGACUUCAAGGGGAUUUAGGCGUGUCUCUACAGUGAGGUCUGUAAAUAUUUGGACAGUGGUACAAUUCGUGAGCUGAGAAUUAGGUUAUAUCUGCAUUCUAAUCUUCAAAUAUUCCAACGUGAAUGAGCUCCAAGCUGAUAUGACCUUUUCAAUAUUUGUCCAAAGUGUCAGUUAGAACCUUAUAAUUCUCUGUUCUUUUGGAACAUUUGGAACCAAAUACGGACCUCAUGUUGUGGAAAUCCUCUUAUCCUAAAAUCAGCUUAACCUAUUAUGUUAUUAUUGCUUUUCAAGCAUAUCAGUUAUAUACAGUAGCUUCAUGUUACAUGGCUGAUACAGGGAGCAAUCCUGAUCAGAGAGCCUAAAGAAGUGUUCUUGCCAAGAGCCUUGCUGUCAAAGGGCUGUUACAGUGAUUCCAUUGAUUCCUCUGUGAGCUGCUCAUUAGUGCAUAAAGCCAGCUCACAGAGGCUUGCGUGUUUGAUUAUGGGGUUUUGGCAACUGAUGUGCAAGCACUGUUCUUACAGUAAAGGCGAAGGAAUGAAUGGAAAUGAAAAAUGAAUAUUUUUUGUUGUUGUGUAUUAUAUGGGGAAAAUGGCUCAAAAUAAGUAUGCUAAUAUUCAUGUCAAAAAUCCCAAUAAAAAUACUUUUGUGGGAAAAAAAAAAA